AUGAGGAAGGGGCUUCAUCCCCAGAUGCAGUGGAUCUCGUACGUGACGCAGAGCGGCAGGCUGAUCAACAUCAUGAUGACCAAGGUGAACCAUACCGGCAAGGUGUACCACAUGAGGGCGAAGCGGCAGAUGGCACAGAGCCUGGGGCAGAUUGCCAAGUUCAAACGCCGAUACGAGCAGGAAGCGCCGGAGGAGAACCAAGACAAGUAG
Molecule: ribosomal RNA, 210 nt
Filed under: Triticum aestivum (bread wheat)
Lineage: Eukaryota; Viridiplantae; Streptophyta; Magnoliopsida; Poales; Poaceae
Description: partial small subunit ribosomal RNA
Source: RNAcentral